This 223-nucleotide non-coding RNA is filed under the name Lactonifactor longoviformis. Its description in RNAcentral is "T-box sequence". It matches the Rfam family "T-box leader". From Rfam's summary of the family: Uncharged tRNA acts as the effector for transcription antitermination of genes in the T-box leader family. The record is from RNAcentral. Lineage: Bacteria; Bacillati; Bacillota; Clostridia; Eubacteriales; Clostridiaceae.
ACAAAAACGCAGAAGAGGAGCAGUAAGAGUCUCUCAGCUUUCAGAGAGCUGCCGGCAGGUGAAAGGCAGCAGUGAAGAACUCCCAACUCGCCUCAGAGUUCUCUGGCUGAACGCAUACUUUCAGUAGGUCAGAGCGGGAACUUCCCGUUACAGAAGAACGAGUGCAUCCCUCUGGGGAUGAAGUAGAGUGGUACCACGGAAUGUUAACCCUUUCGUCUCUAUG